RNAcentral lists this ribosomal RNA (305 nucleotides) under uncultured bacterium. RNAcentral's name for it is "bacterial SSU rRNA". It matches the Rfam family "Bacterial small subunit ribosomal RNA", at positions 334 to 655 of the family's 1533-position model. The record is from RNAcentral.
UUGUCCUACGGGGCGCAGCAGUGGGGAAUAUUGCACAAUGGGGGAAACCCUGAUGCAGCGACGCCGCGUGAGUGAAGAAGUAUUUCGGUAUGUAAAGCUCUAUCAGCAGGGAAGAAAAAAGACGGUACCUGACCAAGAAGCCCCGGCUAACUACGUGCCAGCAGCCGCGGUAAUACGUAGGGGGCAAGCGUUAUCCGGAUUUACUGGGUGUAAAGGGAGCGUAGACGGCCAUGCAAGUCUGAUGUGAAAACCCGGGGCUCAACCCCGGGACUGCAUUGGAAACUGUGCGGCUGGAGUGUCGGAGG